Molecule: ribosomal RNA, 684 nt
Filed under: Triticum aestivum (bread wheat)
Lineage: Eukaryota; Viridiplantae; Streptophyta; Magnoliopsida; Poales; Poaceae
Description: partial small subunit ribosomal RNA
Source: RNAcentral
AUGAGUACAUCUCAACUUUUACUGUAUUUCUUGUUGACAACUAGUGCAGAGCAAGCAAGCAAGGCACUGGAGAUGAACAAAUUACAGAACCCUGUACUUGUUCUCACCAGCAGCAGCACGAGUAGGGGACCUCAAGCGGCAGCACACGAGAAGGGGAUCUCCGGGCGGCAGCACGAGCAGGGGAGGAGUAGCAAGUUGCGGAGAAGCAGCAGAAGGGGCUCCAGCUUGAGGUCCAGGAUCACAAAAGAGCUUGAGGAUGAGCUUGAGGGAGCUCGUGGUCCAGGCGCGGCGGGAGCUUGUGGUCCAGGCGCUCGAGACCCAGGCGCGCGCGGGUCCUGGCCUUCAGCGGCGCAGGCCCUGCGAGGAAGGAGGGGAUAUCGUCGACGCAGGUCCUGGGCGGCGGAGGAGCACGUCUUGUGCGGUGACGGAGCAAGCAGGGCGGCGCGGGUCCUUGGCGUCGGAGGAGCAAGCAGGGCGGCGCGGGUCCUGGGUCACGGAGGAGCACGUCCUGUGCGGCAACGGAGCAAGCAGGGCGGCGCGGGUCCUGGGUCGCGGAGGAGCACGUCUAGUGCGGCGGCGGAGCAAGCAAUUGGGCAGCGCAGGUCUUGGGCUGACGACUGGCCCUGGCGACGCGCGCCGGCGACGGGCGGAGGAAGAAGGAAGAAGACGCGACCUGUAUGGUGA